Molecule: ribosomal RNA, 969 nt
Filed under: Triticum aestivum (bread wheat)
Lineage: Eukaryota; Viridiplantae; Streptophyta; Magnoliopsida; Poales; Poaceae
Description: partial small subunit ribosomal RNA
Source: RNAcentral
AUGAGUAGCAUGUCGUGUUAUACCCUGGCAGAAGGUGGAAGCAUCUUCCCAUCUGGCGACGAACUCGGUGGGAAUCAAAAGACAGAGCAAGGAAAUUACUGGAUACAAUGGAAUUCAAGGCUAUCUGAUGAUUUGAACACAACAAGCCUAUACUCAGACGAGCAUGAGAAUGGCAUCGAGCAAUGUUUCGACGACGCCGAUGAACAUGAGAGGAGCAGCCAACAGGAGAGGUCGUCAGCAUGUGCCAGAGUUUCUUCAGGUUGCAGCACAGGGCCUUCAGAAGAACAAUCUGAGGGGCCAGCGCCGUUGGAACUACAGCACUCCAAGGAAACAAACGACAUCUUCUUGAGUCAAUUUUCGGAUGAUGAAAUGAGGAUGAUGGAUGCGCCGUUUCAGGCACUUGAUAUGUUCCCUGGCUCCAUGCACAGGCUGUUGUCCUAUGAGAACAUGCUGAGUGGAGUAUUGACUGAUUCUCAAAAUCAAGAAGCAAAUCCAGGUCAUAAUGAAAUGGACACCAUGGAUACUUGCGGCUUUCCUUUGUUCAGCCAUGACUUGCAAAAUGAUCCUAGCAGCGCUGAUGGCAGCUUACAAACACUGCUGAGUGCCUCCCAGGACAAGGCUGAGGUGAGCACCAUGAAGAGGAGCAGAUCAGUGCCCGAUAUAGAGAGCUCCUCCAACGGGGAAGUAGCAGUGCUUGAGGAACUUGAAGAUGUCAUGUUUCAGCUGACAAAGAAGACACGUGUAUGCCUCCGUGACGCUUUCUACAGGCUGGCUGAAAGCUCAGAAGCGCAGUGCACUGCUGUAAAUGGAGCAACACUAACGUGCUCAAACGAGCAAAGUUUUCAGCAAUCAGAGGGCACCGAAUCUAGCACCUCGACAUCAGACCGUGCAGAACGGGAGACGAACGCGAUAGACAGAACCGUGGCAAUCCUCGCGUUCAAGCCGGCUUGCUCAGCUGCAUGGGAAUGA